UACGGAGGAUGCAAGCGUUAUCCGGAAUCAUUGGGCGUAAAGCGUCCGUAGGUGGCUAUUCAAGUCUGCCGUCAAAGACCGGGGCUUAACCCCAGAAAGGCGGUGGAAACUGCAUAGCUAGAGUGCAGUAGGGGUAGAGGGAAUUCCCGGUGUAGCGGUGAAAUGCGUAGAGAUCGGGAAGAACACCCGUGGCGAAAGCGCUCUACUGGACUGCAACUGACACUCAGGGACGAAAGCUAGGGGAGCGAAUGGG
RNAcentral lists this ribosomal RNA (253 nucleotides) under uncultured bacterium. RNAcentral describes it as "partial 16S ribosomal RNA". It matches the Rfam family "Bacterial small subunit ribosomal RNA", at positions 524 to 776 of the family's 1533-position model. The record is from RNAcentral.